RNAcentral lists this ribosomal RNA (500 nucleotides) under uncultured bacterium. Its description in RNAcentral is "partial 16S ribosomal RNA". It matches the Rfam family "Bacterial small subunit ribosomal RNA", at positions 29 to 523 of the family's 1533-position model. The record is from RNAcentral.
AUUGAACGCUGGCGGCAUGCCUUACACAUGCAAGUCGAACGGCAGCACGGGAGCAAUCCUGGUGGCGAGUGGCGAACGGGUGAGUAAUAUAUCGGAACGUGCCCAGUAGUGGGGGAUAACUGCUCGAAAGAGCAGCUAAUACCGCAUACGACCUGAGGGUGAAAGCGGGGGAUCGCAAGACCUCGCGCUAUUGGAGCGGCCGAUAUCAGAUUAGCUAGUUGGUGAGGUAAAGGCUCACCAAGGCGACGAUCUGUAGCUGGUCUGAGAGGACGACCAGCCACACUGGGACUGAGACACGGCCCAGACUCCUACGGGAGGCAGCAGUGGGGAAUUUUGGACAAUGGGCGCAAGCCUGAUCCAGCCAUGCCGCGUGCGGGAAGAAGGCCUUCGGGUUAUAAACCGCUUUUGUCAGGGAAGAAACGGCUCCUACUAAUACUGGGGGCUAAUGACGGUACCUGAAGAAUAAGCACCGGCUAACUACGUGCCAGCCGCCGCGGUAA